Molecule: long non-coding RNA, 1760 nt
Filed under: Homo sapiens (human)
Lineage: Eukaryota; Metazoa; Chordata; Mammalia; Primates; Hominidae
Description: HSALNT0322530
Source: RNAcentral
CCCGCCCCAAACUGAGGCGGAGGAAAGGAGACACAGAAAGGCUGAGAGAUUACGCCACCGCAAGAGCGCGCGCCCAGCCGGCCAGUUCGGCUGCGCAACUUCCCAGGAGCCACCGCCCACCAGCCCCGAGCGCGCCUGCGCACCUUCCCGCCCCGCCCUUGCCCGCACAGGUGUGGCACCCGCCCGCCCCGCCGCACGGAGCCGCCUGCCCGCGGCCACACGCCAGGCGUCACUCGGGCUGGCGCCGGUCUACCUAGGCAGGCGUGGGACCUGUCGGGGGCUUCACGGCAGCGCGGAAGGCCAGCCUGCAGAGAGGCUGGGCCCAGCGCCCUGACUGACCCAGCCCCGCCACGUCCAAGGUUCCCGCCCUCUGGAGGAAGCCGCGCAAUCACUCCGGGGGCGGGGAGAGACAGACAACUGAGAGGAAGGAGGUACCACGGGCACUCUCUCGCGAGAGGGCCGCAGAGCCGCCUUUGACGGGGGCGUGUACCUGGAGAGCAACGUGACAUCUGUUUGAGCAGAUGAAUAUGCCAUUGGGAAAGUCAAGGACUGUCGGAGAGGAGGACAUGGCAGACCUUAACUAAAGUGAGGGGGACAGUAGAGCACUAAAAGUUCUAGGAAAGGAGAUGAACUGCUUAUUCCAUCAGAUGAAAAUAUAGUCAGAACAGAUGAGUAGUAGAACUUAAACAUGCCCGGAGUUGCCAGGAAUUUGCAAAAGCCUUGAUAUAAUUCCUGUUGCUGUAGAAAGACUUUCUACAGUCACUAAUAUAUCAAGUUAUGUUCACUAGAAAAAAAGUUUACUUAGUUUAUAGAAAUGGGCUGAAAAAUCCUAAUUACUUAUCUGUGAGGUUAUUUUCAUGAAGGUUAAUCAUCCAGAAACUAUUAGAGAGCCUCGGAAUAUAUUUCUUCUAAUCUGCUCUACCUAUCCCAUUCAAAGGAGGGAAUCUGAAGAUUUAAGGACAAAGAGCAGUUGAAAACUCAGAGCUGUGGUUAAUGGGAGAAUUUCAAGGAUGGUGAAAAAAACUAACAUCAUUGCAUCCCUGUUUUUUGUAUUCUGGACUUUUUAGUUUAGCUCUUGGUAAACUACAUCAGAAAUUCUUUAUGCUAACUCUAACACACAUUUUGGGGUAUUGCUAAUUUAAUCUUUGAAUACUGUUUUUGCUGUUUCAUGAUUAUAUGUUAUGUCCUACCAGCUAGAUUGCCAACUCUUGACUACUGACUGGAAGUUUAUUGUUUAUUCAGCAAAUAAUGAAUUAAGUCAGUGAAGUGAGAGAUUUCGUGUGUAAGGAUUGUUAACUUGAACAUUUCACCAGUUACACACAGUUCAGCCCUACUUAAAUUUUAAAAAUCAUUGUUGGCACUUGACAUUGUUAUGAGGAGUUUUGUAUUUUCAACUUGUAUUUUGAGAGUGUCCUCAUGUGACUGAAGUAUGUGCUACUCUUCUUAAUUGAAUAACCCCAGAAUCUCCAGAAUUGAUAAUUGGAGGAAAUUCUACUGUUGGAAAGAAUGGAUGGAUUAUACAGCCCUGUUUUUUGACUGUUCAUUUUGUCCUUGGAGUCACUACCACUUGGCCUCAAAGUGUGAACAUGUAACCCUUUCCUUAAUACUUUGCUACACAGCUGAGCAGAAACUGUAAAUUUGGAUCCUUUGUCAGUACAACUUAAAAUGGAACAAUUUCAAUGGCUUAGGGUAAGAUAAGUAUGUAAAGAUACUUUUGUAAUAGAAGAAAAAACAUUGGAUAUUAAAAUCACACAGUAGUA